This 405-nucleotide ribosomal RNA is filed under the name uncultured bacterium. RNAcentral's name for it is "partial 16S ribosomal RNA". It matches the Rfam family "Bacterial small subunit ribosomal RNA", at positions 30 to 526 of the family's 1533-position model. The record is from RNAcentral.
AUUGAACGCUGCGGCAGGCUUAACACAUGCAAGUCGAGCGAGCGGCGGACGGGUGAGUAAUGCUUAGGAAUCUGCCUAUUAGUGGGGGACAACAUCUCGAAAGGGAUGCUAAUACCGCAUACUAAUAGAUUAGCCUAAGUCGGAUUAGCUAGUGGGUGGGGUAAAGGCCUACCAAGGCGACGAUCUGUAGCGGGUCUGAGAGGAUGAUCCGCCACACUGGGACUGAGAAAAGGCUCAGACUCCUUAGGGAGGGAGGAGGUGGGAAGUUUGGACAAUGGGGGGAACCCUGAUCCAGCCAUGCCGCGUGUGUGAAGAAGGCCUUAUGGGUGUAAAGCACUUUAAGGGAGGAGGCGUUACUCGCAGAAUAAGCACCGGCUAACUCUGUGCCAGCAGCCGCGGUAAUUC